UGGCAGCCAAGCGUUCAUAGC
RNAcentral lists this non-coding RNA (21 nucleotides) under Arabidopsis thaliana (thale cress). The record is from RNAcentral. Lineage: Eukaryota; Viridiplantae; Streptophyta; Magnoliopsida; Brassicales; Brassicaceae.